ACACUUACCUGGCAGAGGAGAUACUGUUAGUUUUCCCAGGUGGACACUUUUCCGUUUCACACCAGAUGUGCUGACCCCUGUGAUUUCCUCAGAUGUGGAAAACUCAACUGCAUAAUUUGUGGUAGUGGGAGACUACAUUUGCACUCUCCCC
RNAcentral lists this small nuclear RNA (151 nucleotides) under Dasypus novemcinctus (nine-banded armadillo). RNAcentral describes it as "U1 spliceosomal RNA (ENSDNOG00000027039.1)". It matches the Rfam family "U1 spliceosomal RNA". From Rfam's summary of the family: U1 is a small nuclear RNA (snRNA) component of the spliceosome (involved in pre-mRNA splicing). Its 5' end forms complementary base pairs with the 5' splice junction, thus defining the 5' donor site of an intron. The record is from RNAcentral. Lineage: Eukaryota; Metazoa; Chordata; Mammalia; Cingulata; Dasypodidae.